AGUGAACGCUGGCGGUAGGCCUAACACAUGCAAGUCGAACGGCAGCACAGUAAGAGCUUGCUCUUACGGGUGGCGAGUGGCGGACGGGUGAGGAAUACAUCGGAAUCUACUUUUUCGUGGGGGAUAACGUAGGGAAACUUACGCUAAUACCGCAUACGACCUACGGGUGAAAGCAGGGGAUCUUCGGACCUUGCGCGAUUGAAUGAGCCGAUGUCGGAUUAGCUAGUUGGCGGGGUAAAGGCCCACCAAGGCGACGAUCCGUAGCUGGUCUGAGAGGAUGUUCAGCCACACUGGAACUGGGACACGGUCCAGAGUCCUACGGGAGGCAGCAGUGGGGAAUAUUGGACAAUGGGCGCAAGCCUGAUCCAGCCAUACCGCGUGGGUGAAGAAGGCCUUCGGGUUGUAAAGCCCUUUUGUUGGGAAAGAAAAGCAGCAGGUUAAUACCCCGCUGUUCUGACGGUACCCAAAGAAUAAGCACCGGCUAACUUCGUG
This 492-nucleotide ribosomal RNA is filed under the name uncultured bacterium. RNAcentral's name for it is "partial 16S ribosomal RNA". It matches the Rfam family "Bacterial small subunit ribosomal RNA", at positions 29 to 507 of the family's 1533-position model. The record is from RNAcentral.